RNAcentral lists this long non-coding RNA (2121 nucleotides) under Salmo salar (Atlantic salmon). RNAcentral describes it as "lncRNA (ENSSSAG00000113692.1)". The record is from RNAcentral. Lineage: Eukaryota; Metazoa; Chordata; Actinopteri; Salmoniformes; Salmonidae.
AUAAAUCAAGAACAACCCCGCUGUUUUGGAAAGAAUUUAUACAAAAAAAUUUUUUUCACUUUGAUGUGAAAACAAAUGAGAUUAACGUUUUCUACAAAACACGACAAAGUAUAAAUAUCAUGAAGAUGAAAAUACAGACACAGAAAAAUCUGAAUUAAUUAAUUAAUUAAUUACUGACUGAUCGAUUCAAACGCAGAUACAUGAAGGUAAAAUGCACAUUAUAAACGCUGCAUAUCUCAGAGGUCCACUCACAUGUGCAAAUGGAAGUGUAAGGCUUCACCGCAGCAAAACCACAUCUUGGGGUGUGUCCUAAUGGAACCCUAGUCCCUAUAUAGUGCACUACUUUAGACCAGAGGCCCUAUAGAGCCCUAUUCCCUAUAUAUAGUGCACUACUUUAGACCAGAGGCCCUAUAGAACCCUAUUCCCUAUAUAGUGCACUAUUUUAGACCAGAGGCCAUAGUGCCAUUUAGGACACACCUCACAUCUUGAAUGUGUUCUGUACUAGGGAACACAGGAUAUAUUUGAACUGAAAUUAAACGAGUCGAAAUAAAAAAAUAAGAAUACACGUAUUGACAUGCUUCUCGUGUCAAUUAUCUGUACCUUUUUAAUAACAUUCUUGUCUUUUAGUUAAAACCCAAACCAGCCAAAACAUUAAAUAGUAGAACAACUAUAAUCUCAUAUCACUUUGUUGUAGGAUCGAACACGUGGGAACCUGGUGUACAAUGCUGUCCAAAACUGUACACAUGAAACAUAAUUUCAGUUCAUAUUCAAAAGAGAAAUCUCAUCAAGUAAUGCCAGGAAUAUAUACAAAUAUAUAUGUUAAUAUAUAUAUACAUGUAUUAGGAAAAUACAUAUACAUGUAUUAGGAAAAUACAUAUACAUGUAUUAGGAAAAUACAUAUAAAUGUAUUCAAUGUAUACAGAAAUAUAUAUAAUGUAUAUAUCAAUGUAUACAGCAAUAUAAAUAAAUGUAUUAGGAAAAUACAUAUCGACGUAUACAGAAAUAUAUAAAUGUAUUAGGAAAAUACAUAUAAAUGUAUUAGGAAAAUACAUAUCGACGUAUACAGAAAUAUAUAAAUGUAUUAGGAAAAUACAUAUAAAUAUAUUAGGAAAAUACAUAUAAAUGUAUUAGGAAAAUACAUAUCAAUGUAUACAGAAAUAUAUAAAUGUAUUAGGAAAAUACAUAUCAAUGUAUUAGGAAAAUACAUUUCAAUGUAUUAGGAAAAUACAUAUCGACCUAUACAGAAAUAUAUAAAUGUAUUAGGAAAAUACAUAUCAAUGUAUACAAUGUAUAAAGAAAUAUAUAUAAAUGUAUAUAUCAAUUUAUACAGAAAUAUAUAAAUGUAUUAGGAAAAUACAUAUCAAUGUAUACAGAAAUAUAUAAAUGUAUUAGGAAAAUACAUAUCAAUGCAUACAGAAAUAUAUUUACAGAUAUCAACUGUGGAUACGGACGAAUAGCCCAACGCGAACCCAGGUGCACUGAACACGGACUAGCCGUGGUCCACACCUUGCUGUGUGUGUGUGAACGGCAUCACUGUGCCGCCAACCUUUCCCUGUCCGUACCACAGCUUAAAUGUCGUGACCCUUCAGAAAACACACGGGACCUGCCCGCAGUUCUGCUACAAAUCAAUUUGGAAACAUUUCAGACUGUGGAGUGACCCUCUGCUUCAGAAGUCAGGUGUGUUAAUCUAGUCCUCUACAGGUGAGUCAGGUGUGUUAAUCUACUCCUCUACAGGUGAGUCAGGUGUGUUAAUCUACUCCUCUACAGGUGAGUCAGGUGUGUUAAUCUACUCCUCUACAGGUGAGUCAGGUGUGUUAAUCUAGUCCUCAAUAGGUGAGUCAGGUGUGUUAAUCUAGUCCUCUAUAGGUGAGUCAGGUGUGUUAAUCUCCUCUAUAGUUGAGUUAGGUGUGUUAAUCUAGUCCUCUAUAGGUGAGUCAGGUGUGUUAAUCUCCUCUCUAGGUGAGUCAGGUAUGUUAAUCUAGUCCUCUACAGGUGAUUCAGGUGUGUUAAUCUCCUCUAUAGGUGAGUCAGGUGUGUUAAUCUCCUCCUCUAUAGGUGAGUCAGGUGUGUUAAUCUAGUCCUCUAUAGGUGAGUCAGGUGUGUUAAUCUAGUCCUCAAUAG